AUUGAACGCUGGCGGCAGGCUUAACACAUGCAAGUCGAACGAGUGGCGGACGGGUGAGUAAUGCUUGGGAAUCUAGCUUAUGGAGGGGGAUAACUACGGGAAACUGUAGCUAAUACCGCGUACCAUAGGAUGAGCCCAAGUGGGAUUAGGUAGUUGGUGAGGUAAAGGCUCACCAAGCCGACGAUCUCUAGCUGGUCUGAGAGGAUGACCAGCCACACUGGGACUGAGACACGGCCCAGACUCCUACGGGAGGCAGCAGUGGGGAAUAUGGCACAAUGGGGGCAAGCCUGAUGCGGCCAUGCCGCGUGUAUGAAGAAGGCCUUCGGGUUGUAAAGUUCGUUCAGCGGGGAGGCGUUACCGACAGAAGAAGCACCGGCUAACUCCGUGCCAGCAGCCGCGGUAAUUC
Molecule: ribosomal RNA, 406 nt
Filed under: uncultured bacterium
Lineage: Bacteria
Description: partial 16S ribosomal RNA
Rfam family: Bacterial small subunit ribosomal RNA
Source: RNAcentral